This 408-nucleotide ribosomal RNA is filed under the name uncultured bacterium. RNAcentral's name for it is "partial 16S ribosomal RNA". It matches the Rfam family "Bacterial small subunit ribosomal RNA", at positions 29 to 526 of the family's 1533-position model. The record is from RNAcentral.
AGUGAACGCUGGCGGCGUGCCUAAUACAUGCAAGUCGAACGAAUUGCCGCACGGGUGAGUAAUAUAUAUUUAAUCUGCCCUUCACAGAGGAACAACAGUUGGAAACGGCUGCUAAUACCUCAUAGUGUAGGAUGCGACUAUAUCGUAUCAGCUAGUUGGUAAGGUAAUGGCUUACCAAGGCUAUGACGCGUAACUGGUCUGAGAGGAUGAGCAGUCAAAUUGGAACUGAGACAGAGUUCAAACACCUACGGGAAGGAGCAGUAAGGAAUAUGGCGCAAUGGGCGAAAGCCAGAAACAGCAACGCAGCGUGGAGGAUGACACUUUGCGGAGCGUAAACUCCUAUGAUAAGGAAAGCGGUACCUGAUGAAUAAGCACCGGCUAACUCCGUGCCAGCCGCCGCGGUAAUUC